AAGCUUGCUUGUUGGGGUUGUAGGACACUCUAUACGGAGUUACAAAGGACGACAUUAGACGAAUCAUCUGGAAAGAUGAAUCAAAGAAGGUAAUAAUCCUGUAGUCGAAAAUGUUGUCUCUCUUGAGUGGAUCCUGAGUACGACGGAGCACGUGAAAUUCCGUCGGAAUCUGGGAGGACCAUCUCCUAAGGCUAAAUACUCUCUAGUGACCGAUAGUGAACCAGUACCGUGAGGGAAAGGUGAAAAGCACCCCGGAAGGGGAGUGAAAUAGAACCUGAAACCGUGUGCUUACAAGUAGUCAGAGCCCGUUAAUGGGUGAUGGCGUGCCUUUUGUAGAAUGAACCGGCGAGUUACGAUUUGAUGCAAGGUUAAGCAGUAAAUGUGGAGCCGUAGCGAAAGCGAGUCUGAAUAGGGCGUUUAGUAUUUGGUCGUAGACCCGAAACCAGGUGAUCUACCCUUGGUCAGGUUGAAGUUCAGGUAACACUGAAUGGAGGACCGAACCGACUUACGUUGAAAAGUGAGCGGAUGAACUGAGGGUAGCGGAGAAAUUCCAAUCGAACCUGGAGAUAGCUGGUUCUCUCCGAAAUAGCUUUAGGGCUAGCCUCAAGUGAUGAUUAUUGGAGGUAGAGCACUGUUUGGACGAGGGGCCCCUCUCGGGUUACCGAAUUCAGACAAACUCCGAAUGCCAAUUAAUUUAACUUGGGAGUCAGAACAUGGGUGAUAAGGUCCGUGUUCGAAAGGGAAACAGCCCAGACCACCAGCUAAGGUCCCAAAAUAUAUGUUAAGUGGAAAAGGAUGUGGCGUUGCCCAGACAACUAGGAUGUUGGCUUAGAAGCAGCCAUCAUUUAAAGAGUGCGUAAUAGCUCACUAGUCGAGUGACACUGCGCCGAAAAUGUACCGGGGCUAAACAUAUUACCGAAGCUGUGGAUUGUCCUUUGGACAAUGGUAGGAGAGCGUUCUAAGGGCGUUGAAGCAUGAUCGUAAGGACAUGUGGAGCGCUUAGAAGUGAGAAUGCCGGUGUGAGUAGCGAAAGACGGGUGAGAAUCCCGUCCACCGAUUGACUAAGGUUUCCAGAGGAAGGCUCGUCCGCUCUGGGUUAGUCGGGUCCUAAGCUGAGGCCGACAGGCGUAGGCGAUGGAUAACAGGUUGAUAUUCCUGUACCACCUAUAAUCGUUUUAAUCGAUGGGGGGACGCAGUAGGAUAGGCGAAGCGUGCGAUUGGAUUGCACGUCUAAGCAGUAAGGCUGAGUAUUAGGCAAAUCCGGUACUCGUUAAGGCUGAGCUGUGAUGGGGAGAAGACAUUGAGUCUUCGAGUCGUUGAUUUCACACUGCCGAGAAAAGCCUCUAGAUAGAAAAUAGGUGCCCGUACCGCAAACCGACACAGGUAGUCAAGAUGAGAAUUCUAAGGUGAGCGAGCGAACUCUCGUUAAGGAACUCGGCAAAAUGACCCCGUAACUUCGGGAGAAGGGGUGCUCUUUAGGGUUAACGCCCAGAAGAGCCGCAGUGAAUAGGCCCAAGCGACUGUUUAUCAAAAACACAGGUCUCUGCUAAACCGUAAGGUGAUGUAUAGGGGCUGACGCCUGCCCGGUGCUGGAAGGUUAAGAGGAGUGGUUAGCUUCUGCGAAGCUACGAAUCGAAGCCCCAGUAAACGGCGGCCGUAACUAUAACGGUCCUAAGGUAGCGAAAUUCCUUGUCGGGUAAGUUCCGACCCGCACGAAAGGCGUAACGAUUUGGGCACUGUCUCAACGAGAGACUCGGUGAAAUCAUAGUACCUGUGAAGAUGCAGGUUACCCGCGACAGGACGGAAAGACCCCGUGGAGCUUUACUGUAGCCUGAUAUUGAAAUUCGGCACAGCUUGUACAGGAUAGGUAGGAGCCUUUGAAACGUGAGCGCUAGCUUACGUGGAGGCGCUGGUGGGAUACUACCCUAGCUGUGUUGGCUUUCUAACCCGCACCACUUAUCGUGGUGGGAGACAGUGUCAGGCGGGCAGUUUGACUGGGGCGGUCGCCUCCUAAAAGGUAACGGAGGCGCUCAAAGGUUCCCUCAGAAUGGUUGGAAAUCAUUCAUAGAGUGUAAAGGCAUAAGGGAGCUUGACUGCGAGACCUACAAGUCGAGCAGGGUCGAAAGACGGACUUAGUGAUCCGGUGGUUCCGCAUGGAAGGGCCAUCGCUCAACGGAUAAAAGCUACCCCGGGGAUAACAGGCUUAUCUCCCCCAAGAGUUCACAUCGACGGGGAGGUUUGGCACCUCGAUGUCGGCUCAUCGCAUCCUGGGGCUGUAGUCGGUCCCAAGGGUUGGGCUGUUCGCCCAUUAAAGCGGUACGCGAGCUGGGUUCAGAACGUCGUGAGACAGUUCGGUCCCUAUCCGUCGUGGGCGUAGGAAAUUUGAGAGGAGCUGUCCUUAGUACGAGAGGACCGGGAUGGACAUACCUCUGGUGUACCAGUUGUCGUGCCAACGGCAUAGCUGGGUAGCUAUGUGUGGACGGGAUAAGUGCUGAAAGCAUCUAAGCAUGAAGCCCCCCUCAAGAUGAGAUUUCCCAACUUCGGUUAUAAGAUCCCUCAAAGAUGAUGAGGUUAAUAGGUUCGAGGUGGAAGCAUGGUGACAUGUGGAGCUGACGAAUACUAAUCGAUCGAAGACUUAAUCAA
RNAcentral lists this ribosomal RNA (2643 nucleotides) under Staphylococcus aureus. RNAcentral's name for it is "partial 23S ribosomal RNA". It matches the Rfam family "Bacterial large subunit ribosomal RNA". The record is from RNAcentral. Lineage: Bacteria; Bacillati; Bacillota; Bacilli; Caryophanales; Staphylococcaceae. RNAcentral also lists the same sequence under 2 other names.